This 497-nucleotide ribosomal RNA is filed under the name uncultured bacterium. Its description in RNAcentral is "partial 16S ribosomal RNA". It matches the Rfam family "Bacterial small subunit ribosomal RNA", at positions 28 to 507 of the family's 1533-position model. The record is from RNAcentral.
GAUGAACGCUGGCGGCGUGCCUAAUACAUGCAAGUCGAGCGAACAGACGAGGAGCUUGCUCCUCUGACGUUAGCGGCGGACGGGUGAGUAACACGUGGAUAACCUACCUAUAAGACUGGGAUAACUUCGGGAAACCGGAGCUAAUACCGGAGAAUAUAUUGAACCGCAUGGUUCAAUAGUGAAAGACGGUUUUGCUGUCACUUAUAGAUGGAUCAGCGCCGCAUUAGCUAGUUGGUAAGGUAACGGCUUACCAAGGCAACGAUGCGUAGCCGACCUGUGAGGGUGGUUGGCCACACUGGAACUGGGACACGGUCCAGACUCCUACGGGAGGCAGCAGUAGGGAAUCUUCCGCAAUGGGCGAAAGCCUGACGGAGCAACGCCGCGUGAGUGAUGAAGGUCUUCGGAUCGUAAAACUCUGUUAUUAGGGAAGAACAAAUGUGUAAGUAACUAUGCACGUCUUGACGGUACCUAAUCAGAAAGCCACGGCUAACUACGUG